RNAcentral lists this small RNA (277 nucleotides) under Arabidopsis thaliana (thale cress). Its description in RNAcentral is "ATSL111050". The record is from RNAcentral. Lineage: Eukaryota; Viridiplantae; Streptophyta; Magnoliopsida; Brassicales; Brassicaceae.
UGAGACAUAGAGAACGAAGACAGGCCAAAGAGAUCAGCACCGGAAUCUGACAGAAAGAGCAGUGAGCACGCAAGAGAAGCAAGUGCAAUGAUAUGCAAAUUGCCUUUGUGUGCUCACUCUCUUCUGUCAGUUUCUUUGCGUUUCUCUUGUCCCAACUCUUUCAUUCACAAUUAGUCCAACUUCAGAGAUCUACAAGAUGAAACAAAGAAAACAAGAAACGAUGAGAAUCUUUUAAGCUUUGUGUUAGAUCUGAGUUUUAACUGGAGAAGACAAAGAA